GUCAGUCACCUCACCGCGUCUGGCGGAUCUCUCGGGCUCUCAGUGCGGGUCCUGUAGGUGAUCCGUUGCAGAUGAAGCCUGUGUUUGAGCGGCACGCGUUUGGGCUGAACCCCUGACUGCGGACAGCAGCCGAGCGAUUUCUAAUGAUGCAGAGUGAAGACCGCAAGAGAAAGAAACACAGUUUGAACCCCAGAAGCGUGUCAGACGAGUACAGUCUGCGUGAGCGACCGAAAGACGAAGCCACAAAGAUGAAGAAUAAAGUUUCUACUUCACAAGGCAGGAAACAGAAUCUUCUUGCAUGCUUUAUAAAAACACACACUGUGCCGAUGAGUCUGGCUUCAUGUUAUCUAGUGUGUCUAAUGUUGCUCUGUAUUUCAUAG
Molecule: long non-coding RNA, 380 nt
Filed under: Sinocyclocheilus anshuiensis
Lineage: Eukaryota; Metazoa; Chordata; Actinopteri; Cypriniformes; Cyprinidae
Description: lncRNA (ENSSANG00000006137.1)
Source: RNAcentral